Long non-coding RNA from Passer domesticus (house sparrow), 486 nucleotides. RefSeq lists it as uncharacterized. The transcript is spliced from 2 exons. The record is from RefSeq and is a predicted model, not a curated record. Lineage: Eukaryota; Metazoa; Chordata; Aves; Passeriformes; Passeridae.
GAGGGGGCUGUGGGGGAGCCCUGAGGGAGCCCGGAAAGGGCCGUGAGGGGCCAUGGAGAGGCGGGGGAAGCGGUGAGGGAGCCGUGAGGGGAUCAUGGCUGAACCGAGAGGGAGCGUGUUAAGGGCUGUUAGGGGACUGUGGAGAGGCGGGUGGGAGCUCUGAGGGAACCGUGAGGGGGCCGUGAUGGAGGCGCCACGGAGAAGCAUGAGGGAGCCAUGGAGGAGCCGUGAGGGAGCCAUGGGGGAGCCGUGAGGGAGCCCGGAAAGGGCUGUGAGUGAGCCAUGGAGCAGGCGGGAACCGUGAGGGACGUACGCUGUUACAAUUCAUUAAUUAGGAAUUAAAUGAUAUUUUCAUUUACAAGGAGAAGCCUAUGCUGUCUCUUCGCUUUGUAUUCCGUUUGUGAUGUACCACAAGCACCCUGUGGAGAGGAGGAACCGCCGUGGCAGGGGGUUAUGCUGGAGAAAAAUAAAGCUGAAUUGCAUCAA